This 641-nucleotide long non-coding RNA is filed under the name Equus caballus (horse). RNAcentral's name for it is "lncRNA (ENSECAG00000047789.1)". The record is from RNAcentral. Lineage: Eukaryota; Metazoa; Chordata; Mammalia; Perissodactyla; Equidae.
GGGAGGAGGUGAGGGCCUGAGGGAGGAGGUGAAGGCCUGAGGGAGGAGGUGAGGGUCUGAGACAGAAGUAGAUAGUCUGAGGGAAGGAAGAAGGUCUGAGGGAGAUGAACAGGUCUGAGGAAGGAGGUGGGGGCCUGAGGGAGGAGGUGAGGGUCUGAGGGUGGAGGUGAGGGCCUGAGGGAGGAGAGAGGGCCUGAGGGAGGAGGUGAGGGCCUGAGGGAGGAGAGAGGGUCUGAGGGAGGAGGUGAGGGCCUGAGGGAGGAGGUGAGGGUCUGAGGGAGGAGAGAGGGUCUGAGGGAGGAGGAGAGGGCCUGAGGGAGGAGGUGAGGGCCUGAGGGAGGAGGUGAGGGCCUGAGGGAGGAGGUGAGGGCCUGAGGGAGGAGGUGAGGGUCUGAGGGAGGAGGUGAGGGCGGAGUUGAGCAUCUGAGGGUGGAGGUGAGGAUCUGAGGGAGGAGGUGAGGGCCUGAGGGAGGAUGUGAGGGCUUGAGGGAGGAGGUGAGCAUCUGAGGGAGGGAGGAGAAAGUUGGGGGGAAAAGAAGGGCCUGAGGGAAGAGGAGUUUUGGAAAGGGUCUGAGAGUGGGGGUGAAUUCUGAGGGGGGAGGAGACUUGAGGGAGAAGAUCCGAGGGUCUGAGGGCGGAGG